Molecule: ribosomal RNA, 796 nt
Filed under: Diplodia allocellula
Lineage: Eukaryota; Fungi; Ascomycota; Dothideomycetes; Botryosphaeriales; Botryosphaeriaceae
Description: eukaryotic LSU rRNA
Rfam family: Eukaryotic large subunit ribosomal RNA
Source: RNAcentral
CGAGUGAAGCGGCAACAGCUCAAAUUUGAAAGCUGAUCCUUUCAGGGUCCGCGUUGUAAUUUGUAGAGGAUGAUUCGGCGAGGGCUCCCGCCUAAGUCCCCUGGAACGGGGCGUCAUAGAGGGUGAGAAUCCCGUAUGCGGUGGGUUGCCUUAGCCAUGUGAAUCUCCUUCGACGAGUCGAGUUGUUUGGGAAUGCAGCUCUAAAUGGGAGGUAAAUUUCUUCUAAAGCUAAAUACCGGCCAGAGACCGAUAGCGCACAAGUAGAGUGAUCGAAAGAUGAAAAGCACUUUGGAAAGAGAGUUAAAAAGUACGUGAAAUUGUUGAAAGGGAAGCGCUUGCAACCAGACUUGUCCGCAGUUGCUCAGCCGGUCUCCUGACCGGCGUACUCUUCUGCGGCCAGGCCAGCAUCAGUUCGGGCGGUCGGAUAAAGACCUCGGGAAUGUAGCUCCUCUCGGGGAGUGUUAUAGCCCGGGGUGGAAUGCGGCCAGCCUGGACUGAGGAUCUCGCUUCGGCAAGGAUGCUGGCGUAAUGGUUGUAAGCGGCCCGUCUUGAAACACGGACCAAGGAGUCUAACAUCUAUGCGAGUGUUUGGGUGUCAAACCCAUACGCGUAAUGAAAGUGAACGGAGGUGGGAACCCGCAAGGGUGCACCAUCGGCCGAUCCUGAUGUCUUCGGAUGGAUUUGAGCAAGAGCAUAGCUGUUGGGACCCGAAAGAUGGUGAACUAUGCCUGAAUAGGGUGAAGCCAGAGGAAACUCUGGUGGAGGCUCGCAGCGGUUCUGACGUGCAAAUCGAUCG